CCAUCUUUUAUUAAUAAAUCAAAUUAAAUCUCCCUUACAUAUUUUCUCAGAAAAAAAUGAAGGGGAACAAGUGUUCUUUCUAUCUUGGGCUUGUUUGGUACUAAUUUUAGUAUUUUUAUUUAUCUACAAAUUAGUAUACUAUCAUGUGGAGAUUGAUAUUGGCGACAAUAUUUGCAUGGAAUUUAUGCUAUUCUUACUUUUGUUUCACUCUUUCUAAAAGUAAUAGAUCUUUCUAGCCAAAAGUUCCUAAAGUUUUAUAUGCAAUUUAAGUAAUAAAAAAAUUUUAUGACACAUUUGUUUAGU
RNAcentral lists this long non-coding RNA (303 nucleotides) under Elaeis guineensis (African oil palm). RNAcentral describes it as "long non-coding RNA (EGUI_LNC061497)". Lineage: Eukaryota; Viridiplantae; Streptophyta; Magnoliopsida; Arecales; Arecaceae. The record is from RNAcentral.